This 724-nucleotide non-coding RNA is filed under the name Paragonimus westermani. Lineage: Eukaryota; Metazoa; Platyhelminthes; Trematoda; Plagiorchiida; Troglotrematidae. The record is from RNAcentral.
GUUCAAUUUAAUUCUGGUUGUGAAAGGGUUUGGGGUAGUGCUACAUGGGUUCUGUCUGUUGUCAGAAGGGUUCGUAAGGUUUUGAGGUCUUGCCCAGUGGUUGAAUCUUGAUUUAUUGAGGUAAUUCAGAUCAGGCUAUCCUAAAGGGAUGGAGAAUUCGCAGUGCCAGCAUCCGCGGUUAUUCUGUUAAUCUUCUCUUUCGUUUGGUUUAAAUGUUUUGUGGGGUAUUUAGCACUCUUUGGGUAGAAUCUUUGAGUUUGGUUGAAAUGUGUCUGCAUUUCCUUCGGGCGCUUUUUAGGAAAAGGAUUAGAGACCCUUGUACUAGGUGUAACAUUUUGUGGCCAUGGUGGGAACUAAAAGGAUUUGGCAGCCGAUGAGGUUCUUCCGGGGGAGUGUGUGGCGUAAGAGAUAGUCCGCUUAGGAUCUUACCAUCGUUAUCCGUUAGUGUAUGUCCGGUUUAAGAUUCGUGAUUUGUGUCAAGGGGUGUCAUGGUUUGAUUUAAUCCAGGUCAAUGUGCUGCUCAUGCGAUGGUGCUUGUGCACUACUGUUGGAAUGCUCUUCGGUGUAAGGGGAGGACGUUCAGGGACUCGGAAGUAGGUGGAUUGAGGUUUGUUCUAUCGAAUCUGGAUUUAGUUGGGGUACAUACCGCCCGUCACCCAGGGUGUUAACUGUGGUAAGUCGUAACAUGGUAAUGUCGGGGGAACCGGACGUUAGUUGGCCUCGC